CCCUCUCGUACAUGAAAGCUAAACCAUUCCACCCAUCUCUCCCACUCUCUGGUCCAAACAUUGGGUGAGUGCAAAGCACAUCCGACUCUUCGGGGAGCACCUUACCCAUGGAAUUCAAAUAUAUGUAUCACAUGGGUAAACAGUAGUGUCAAACAAUGUGAUUUCUAUAAUAGCUUAGCUUAUUUUAAAAAAUGACCAUCAAGUGAACUUCGUGCGCUUUCCCAACUCACUUGGGAUGUAAUCGGAUGGGUGGGCCAGGAUUCCCCUCCCCCAUCCAUCCUCGUUUGUAAUUUUCUUAUCCCAUCUCCACUUCAUUCUCCGUCUUAGACUAGGCGGGGUAGGGACAAGGAAUCCCCACUAGGGGCAAGUUCCCCAUCCCUAUCCCACUAGGUCGAGGUAGGGAGACAAAUACUCAAUUACAAACCAAGAAAUGGACUAGCAAACAGAAAUUCCAAUCCAGAUCCAAAAUCAAAAGCUUCAUGGACAUGUUAGAUAUAGAUAUUAUAUGUGUGUAUGGGGAUAACAAUUUAAACAUGAACAGGGUUCUCUUAUUUUAUACUUGAGUUGAAAAGUGUAGGCUGUGAAGGGCAUCUUUCUUUAUUCUCUCUACUAAAUAAAAGUCUCUCAAUUCCCCUUUUCUUCCUAUUUCACAUCAGGGUGUUCAGUUGUAAGUACAUACUUGCAAUAGAACCUCUCUUGGGCCUUCUUUAACCGAUAGGACGUCGGCAAAGAGUGUCGGCCGCUUAAGACAGUGGAGAGGCAAUGACUCGAGGACCUCCGUUAGAGAUAGUAUAGAUGUGCAUAGCAUUAUAACAUCAUUCUCUGCUUCAAUAAAUUCAUUCAUGCCCCUGUCAAUCCACCCACAUCUAUUACAUAUUGAAAAAGAAAAAAGAAGCCAAGACUCCCAAGGUAUUUUUCUGAAAAAGAAAUGCUGAAAAUGGCACUUUCCAAUAGCAUUUUUUUUUUAAGUCUUUAACAGAGAAAAUGUGAGAGUAUUGUACCUGAAGAAUGAGAUGCCCAAGCGGGCGCAGAGCUGAGAGUGAUCUGACCGAGAAGUUGCGGUGAGGGUAUGGCCUUGUUUCAUCAUGGUUUUUGCCAGGAACUGCCCAA
This 1110-nucleotide long non-coding RNA is filed under the name Vitis vinifera (wine grape). RNAcentral's name for it is "long non-coding RNA (VVIN_LNC004000)". The record is from RNAcentral. Lineage: Eukaryota; Viridiplantae; Streptophyta; Magnoliopsida; Vitales; Vitaceae.